CUACAAGACGCAGACAGUUGAACUACAAAACAGACAGUAGACCUACAACACACAGACAGUAGAAAUACAACACACACACAUUAGGGAGACUACCAGAACUACAACACACAGACAGUAGAAAUACAACACACAGAUAGUAGGGAGCUCAAUAUCACUACCUUUACCCACUCUCCAACCUGCCACUGCAAUCUGAAUAGGGAUAGGAUGAAGUGAGAUGCAGCUAAGCACUGAUUUAAGGUGACAGAAGUGGCAUUAGAACAAUAUCAUCAUCCGGCUCAACAGGGAAGAGGGAGGAACUAAGACCGAGCUGCACGUAGCUAACUGAUGCAGACCUACGCCAAGGCAAUAUAGCUCCACCACCAGAAAAUCACAUCAGGGACACCAGAACAUUAUAUAGAGUUUGAGAGGACCUGAGCCCUAGGACCAUGCCUCAGAACUACCUGGCAUGACUCCUUGCUGUCCCCA
Molecule: long non-coding RNA, 465 nt
Organism: Oncorhynchus gorbuscha (pink salmon)
Lineage: Eukaryota; Metazoa; Chordata; Actinopteri; Salmoniformes; Salmonidae
Exons: 4
Source: RefSeq, a predicted model, not a curated record